RNAcentral lists this ribosomal RNA (482 nucleotides) under uncultured bacterium. RNAcentral's name for it is "partial 16S ribosomal RNA". It matches the Rfam family "Bacterial small subunit ribosomal RNA", at positions 30 to 507 of the family's 1533-position model. The record is from RNAcentral.
AUUGAACGCUGGCGGCAUGCCUUACACAUGCAAGUCGAACGGUAACGGGCCUUCGGGUGCCGACGAGUGGCGAACGGGUGAGUAAUACAUCGGAACGUGCCCGAUCGUGGGGGAUAACGAGGCGAAAGCUUUGCUAAUACCGCAUACGAUCUACGGAUGAAAGCAGGGGACCGCAAGGCCUUGCGCGGACGGAGCGGCCGAUGGCAGAUUAGGUAGUUGGUGGGAUAAAAGCUUACCAAGCCGACGAUCUGUAGCUGGUCUGAGAGGAUGAUCAGCCACACUGGGACUGAGACACGGCCCAGACUCCUACGGGAGGCAGCAGUGGGGAAUUUUGGACAAUGGGCGCAAGCCUGAUCCAGACAUGCCGCGUGCAGGAUGAAGGCCUUCGGGUUGUAAACUGCUUUUGUACGGAACGAAAAGCCUUCUUUUAAUACAGGAGGGUCAUGACGGUACCGUAAGAAUAAGCACCGGCUAACUACGUG